This is a long non-coding RNA of Diceros bicornis minor, 408 nucleotides long. RefSeq lists it as uncharacterized. The record is from RefSeq and is a predicted model, not a curated record. Lineage: Eukaryota; Metazoa; Chordata; Mammalia; Perissodactyla; Rhinocerotidae. The transcript has 3 exons.
AGCACCAGAGCGCUCCCCGCCUGGGGACAUCUGACGAGUCUCAGGAGGCCGCAGCUCGGAGGAGAUUCCAGGGGAAACGGAAAGAAUUGUUCAUACUUCCUGGCUCCACUUCCUGAGUUCUCAUUCACCCCCGACUGCAGUGGAGUGAAGACUGACCUGGGUAACCUGCUCUAUGGGACUCUGGGCCAGUUAAUGAACUACUCCAAGCCUCAGUUUCUCCACUGUGACUUCUAAAUGAGAAACAGCACAACUAACGGCCAAGUUCACUGUUGCUUAAGCAUCUCUCAUUCUCUUACAACACUUGAUCUUGCUAUUUGCUCCACUGUGUAUGAUCUUUCCUGUGCAACUGAAAUAUAUGGAAUCUGGAAUUUUCUUCAAACCAGGAACUAAUUCCUUUAAUUUCAUCAA